GUGGGUAUAGCUCAGUUGGUUAGAGCGUCGGAUUGUGAUUCCGAAGGUCGCCGGUUCGAGCCCGGUUAUCCACCCCG
RNAcentral lists this transfer RNA (77 nucleotides) under Chitinophagaceae bacterium. RNAcentral describes it as "tRNA-His". It matches the Rfam family "tRNA". From Rfam's summary of the family: Transfer RNA (tRNA) molecules are approximately 80 nucleotides in length. The record is from RNAcentral. Lineage: Bacteria; Pseudomonadati; Bacteroidota; Chitinophagia; Chitinophagales; Chitinophagaceae.